CUGUCAGCGGUACAUUUAAUUAUGGCCUUCUUUAGCGCGUCGUAUUUAUUGUCUGGUGGAGGUGAUAUAAUGAAUUCACGUACCUCUAUGGCAGUUGAUGGAGGUAAAAGUGAAAUUAGAUAAGAAAAUUUGGUGUCAUCAUUUGUAAUUGGACUUGGCUUGUUCAAUAAAAAUUGUGAUUCCAAUGUUAUGAACCACAAUUCUGGAUCGUUUGGCCAAAAUUCGGGUGCUUUAAUUGAAUCCAUUUUGAGAAUAUAUUGUAUUUAAAAAUUAUAUGUCCUUAAGAGAUAUUAAAAUUCUGAUUAUUAAAUUAUUAAAAUUCAGAAUUAAAAUUUUAUAUUUGAUUUUUUUAUUUGAUAAGAAAAAAUAUUUCAAUAUAUUAUCAAGUUAUAAUUUUCAAAUUGUAAGUUAUAUAUUAUUUUUUAAUUGCCAAUUUAAUGUGUAUUUGAAUUUAUUUAAUAUUUAUUUCUUAAAAUUAUAUUUGAUAUCUGAUUUGUUUUUAAGUUGAAAAUUUGCCUUGAAUUAAAUACCAAACGAUGUAUGUUGUAUAGUUAUUAUUUAAUCAUUACUCACCAGAUGAAAUUAUUAUUACAAAUUAUUUAUUACACUUUAUAUUUAUAUUUUUACAUCAACACGUUGUUUAGAUUAUACAUCGUAUUAUUAUUGUUUAUGAUGAUGAUCUAUUAUAUAUUUUAAAACACAGAAUACUACAUUCCCUCCUUCCUUUAGAUGAAAGGAAUCAUGUCUUUAUAUCUUGAUGAUGGCUUGACGACUCUUCCACUCCUGGUGAUCACGGGUUCCUUGGUAGUCGGCAAGGGUGGAGAAACCUCUGGUGGCAACUGGUGAAGAGCCUCGGCAUCAAGUCUAUCUGAAACAACUGGGUUAAAUGUAGACCCUGUUCUACUUGAACUUGGUCGGUUUAAAGAAGUGUCCUUGUCUUGGUUUGAGGAAUUAUCAUCUGUUAUUUGUACAUCAGAAGAGUUGAGGUGUUCAAUUCUUGUUGAAUCUGAACUAAGAUUUUUCUGGCUCUCUUCUGGAAUCAAGUCAGAAAUGCCUUGAUUGGUCUCUUGAGUAGGAACAUGUUUCAAAUGUUUAGCAUUUCUAUGAAUUAUUUUCCCAUUUUUAGUGUUGACUAAUUUAAAAUAAUUUAUUGAAGUGUUUUCAAGAAUGACAUGAUGUUCUGAUCUGAAAUUUGAAUCAAGUUUUCCAUUAUUUGGAUUUGCCACAUAAACUAAAUUUCCAAUUUCAAAAUUAUGAGGACUAGCUUUCCGAAUUAUAUCAUUAUAUGUUUUCAUUUUUUCUUUGUAGACCAUAUUGAAUUCUUUGAUGUUGGAUUCAUCUUCUUCUGCAUCAUUAACAAGUGAGCUUAAUUUAGUUUUGAUUUCUCUUGAAAAUAAUAGGAAUGCUGGAGUCUUUCCUGUAGAUCUGUUUGGAGUAGUUCGGUAAGACAUUAAAAUUCUGGAUAAAUCUUCUUUCCAAUCUUUCCCUUCUUCAGAACUUGAAUUAAAUUGUUUCUUUAGAAAUCUAUGGAAUCUUUCUAUCUUCCCAUUACUUUUUGGGUAAUAGGGUGAGGCUUUGAUGUGCCUGAUUCCACAUUCUUUUAAAAAUCUUUCCAUUGAUGUACUUACAAACUGUAAGCCAUUAUCUGUUACAACUUCAUGUGGAUAACCAUGUCUUGCAAAAAUCUCCAUCAAUUUUUCAAUAAUUGUCUUGCUGGAAAUGUCUUCUAUUAUCAUUGCUUCAGGAUAUGAAGAAUAGUAGUCGAUCACUGUUAAAACAUAAUGAUGGCCAAUUGGACCAACUAUGUCAAUUCCAAGUUUCAUCCAAGGUUUUGAUGGUAACGGAACUAUUUGCAAUGGUUGAUCAUUUAUCAAUGGUUGAUUCCUUACACAAAUUGGACAGUUUCUAAUCAAAUUUUCAAUGUCAAAGUCCAUGUUUAUCCAAAAAUAUUUUUCUCUUAACAGUUGUUUGGUUCUUGUCAUUCCUUGAUGUGUUUCAUGUGCAAUUCUCAAGACUCUCUUUAUUAGUUUUGAAGGUAGCAAAAUUCUACUUCCUUUUAAGAUAAGAUUAUCAAAAAUUGAGAGUUCAUCUUUAAACUUAUAAAAACAUUUGAAUUCUUCAUUCAAAGGAUAUGGCCAAACUCCCUUUUGAACCAUAUCUUUCAGUUUUUGAAACAAAGGAUCUUGCUCUGUACAAACUUUUAUCUCUUUCAAAGACAGUGCUUGAAGCUCUUCAGAAGUGAUGGAUAAGACUUUAUGAACAUAGUUCUCCAGCCAUUUUUCAUCACUUGUGUUAGAAAGAGGUUGUCUUGAAAAUAUAUCUGCAAUAUUUUGCUUUCAAUGAAUUCAAUUUCAAAGUCAUAUAUGGUUGUAAUCUCCAACUCAAUCUUUGAAUUCUUGGAGGCAAAACAGCUCCAUUUUUAGGAUUCAGCAUAUAGAUUAGAGGUUUGUGAUCUGUUUUUAACACAAAUUUCCUUCCCCAAAUACACAGGUCUACAAAACUCAAAGUAGUUGUACCUUAUAGCAUAUAUAUAUCGGGAUUCAGAAAAAAAACUCUGAGAGAUAUUUGAUGCACAGGGAUAUUUAUCACUGUGCAUCAAAUAUCUCUCAGAGUUUUUUUUCUGAAUCCCGAUAUAUAUAUGCUAUAAGGUACAACCUUUUUGAGUUUUGUAGACCUGUGAUAUAGGUGUUAAAAUGUUCAAUUGCCCAUACACAUCCCAAUGUCUCUUUUUCUAUUUGUGAAUAUCUUUUUUCAGUAUCAGUUAAGGAUCUGCUGGCAUAUGCAAUGGGUCUUUUAAUGCCAUUUUGUUGUGUUUGUAUUAAUACUGCUCCAAGACCAAUAGGGCUUGCAUCUGUGAUUAAUUCAGUUGUUGAGUUCAAGUUGUAAUAUGCCAAGCAUGGCUCUUUUGUUAGUGACUCUUCAAGAUCCUGAAAUGCUUUAUUUGUUUUCAAAUCCCAAUUCCACCUAACAUUUUUUCUAGUCAAAUUAUUUAGAGGUUCUGCCAAUUUAGAAAAAUUAGGUAUGAAUUUUCUUAAAAACCCACAAGUUCCUAAGAAUGACCUUAACAUCUCAAUAUUUUUUGGUAUUGGAAAAUUUAAGACUGCUUCUAUUUUCCUAUUAUCAGGUUUAAUACCUUCACUACUAACAAUGUGACCUAAAAUAUCCAAUUCUUCCAUUGCAAAUUUGCACUUAUUCCUGUUGAGCCUAAUGCCUACUUUAUCAAAUCUUUGUAAGACUUUUCUAAGCCUUUCUUCUAGUUCUUGUCUAUCUUUGGCGUAAACUACGACAUCGUCCAAGUAACAAAUUACACCUUUCAAAUCAAGCAAAAUUGAAUCCAUUCCUUUCUGAUAUGCCUCUGGAGCACUUGAUAGACCAAAAGGAACUUUACAAAAUCUGUAACAACCACGGUGCGUGAUGAAAGUUGUAAGGGGUCUUGAUUGAGGGUCUAAGUCAACCUGCCAAAACCCUUUUUUCGCAUCCAGCUUUGCAAAUACUUUAGCACCUUUAAGGGCAUGUAACAUAUUGUCAAUUGUAGGAAUUGGAUGUCUUUCUCUCAAUAUUGCUUUAUUCACUUCCCGAAGGUCUAUGCAUAGUCUAAUUUCCUCACUAUCCCUUUUUGGAACAACUAUUAUGUUAGAAACCCAUUCAGAACCUUGAUGCACUUCUUCAAUGAUUCCAUUCUCUAGCAUCUUAUCAAGCUCUUGAUUUACUGCUUCUACCAUUGCAUAAGGUAUACGACGGCAUCUCUGGGCAAUGGGCCUAUAGUUGUCUUUCAAUGUCACUUUAUGACUAUAGCCUUUUAUAGUUCCAAGUCCAUGGAAAAGAUGUUCAUGUUCUUGAACAAGAGUUUCUAUAUUAGUAGACAUUGAUUCAUUUACAUAAUUUACCCUUUUAAUUAUACCUAGUUCAAAACUAGCCUUGCCUCCCAACAAAGAUUCAACUUUUUUAUCAAUCACAUAAAUUUCUUCUGAAAUUGAAUUUUCUUUCCAAGAAAUCACAGCAUUGAAAUAACCAUAACAUGGAAGAGGUCUAUCUUGACCAUAGGCAAAAAAGGUUCGGGUGGUGUCAUGUAAUUUUGGCAUAAUUUUAUGGCCAUAUAAUUCAAGCAUCUUAUUAUAGCUUAUGAAAGUUCUAUCACUCCCUGUAUCAAUUAUCAUAUUUAUUUCACUACCAUCUAUUUGCACUUUUUCUUUAUUUUCAGCACCUGUAUAGUAGGUAUAUUCAUCUGAACUUUCACCUACUUCAGUCUUAUUUUCUUCUUGUAUGGUCUUAACUUUAGUUUGAUUGAAACUUUUGUGGUUUCUAUUAUUAUUUUGAUUUGGGCGGUUCCUGCAAGCUCUAAAAAGAUGUCCUAAUUUAUUGCAAUAUGAACAAGUCAUUUUUUAGCACCACAUUCUUGUGCUGAAUGUGUAUCUAAUCCACAGCGAUAACAUUUAGGCUUUGAGGCACCUGAAAAUGAUGGGGUACCUUGAUUAGUGAAUCUACCUUUGUUGAAAUUAUUAGCAUUAUAGUGCUUUUUAGGUUUAUUUUGAACUCUAUUUAGUGUUUGAUCAUUUUGAGGUUCAAGAAGUCUAAUUUCUUUUCUAGAAAUUUCUAACAUUCUAGCAAUAUCAAUGGUUUUUGACAGUGUCAAAUUUUCUUGUUGCAACAAUUUUUCUUUAAGUUUUUUGUUGUUACAUUUUUCAAUUAUUUGGUCUCUUAUCAUAUCAGCUUCUAAAUUCCCAAAUUCACAAGAUUUAGAAAGCUCUCUUAAAGAAAUUAGGUAGUUGUCGAUCGAUUCAUCAUCUUUCUGGACUCUUUGUCUAAAUUUAAAUCUCUCAGUGACCACAUUUUUAUGAGGUGUGAAAUAUUUAUCUAAAGCCAUUUUAGUUUGUUCAUAAUUUUCCUUUUCAUCUGGCAAGUUGAAAAAUAUACGUUGUACAUUUGGCCCUAAACAAUGCAAUAGAGUUGCUCUCUUAAUUUCAUCCGAUUUUUUUGAAAUUCCAGAUGCUAUUUCAAAAAUGGCAUAGGAUUCCAUCCAUUGCUUAUAUUCCGCAAAUAAAUUGCUAGCAUUCAUAUUCAUGGGUAACGGUGGCGUCAGGUUGGCUGCCAUACUUGUUUUUUUUUUAGGGCUACAGUUAUAUUUUCAAAUUCUCGUCGCCAAUUUAUGUUGUAUAGUUAUUAUUUAAUCAUUACACUCACCAGAUGAAAUUAUUAUUACAAAUUAUUUAUUAUUUAUAUUUAUAUUUUUACAUCAAUACGUUGUUUAGAUUAUACAUCGUAUUAUUAUUGUUUAUGAUGAUGAUCUAUUAUAUAUUUUAAAACACAGAAUACUACAAUGUACGUUUUCGUAGUUUUUAAAUAUUGCGAAAUAUGUUAUAAUUUUUGUUUUAAAUAUAAAUAUUUAAUAUGUAUUUCUUAAAUAUUUAUAAUUUGAUAUUAUGAGUAUUUUCAUUUUUCACUUUUGAUCGAAUUGAAAUUCUUGUUUGAUUGCUUGCAAAUGUUCGUUAAAAGUUUACCGGCUCACCAUUUUGUGGGUGGCAUGGAAUUCUAGGCGGAGUCAGAUAACAAAUUAUUUAUUGUAAAAUAAACCUUUAAUUACAUUUAUUUAAUACAAAUUAUCAGAAGGGGUUGCAUUGUUGUAUUAUUACAUGUUGAAGUUAUUUUUUAUGUCUGUGUGUGUGGUCAAAUAUCAAUUCUAGAUUAUAUAAUGUUAGACAUAUGUGCUUGAUAUAUUAUAGAUAAAUAUUUACAUUUCAUAUUAUUUAUGAUUUAUAUUUAGAGUGAUGUAUAAUUAUUUUAUUAUAUUGAUAUGGCAACAAUUAAUAUGAUAUUAAUGUUAAUUCAUAUAAUUUUAAUAAAGUAUAUUUUAUAAGCAUUAUAUAUUUAUAAGAUGAAUAAUUUUAAUAUUUGAAUUGAAUAGUUAUUAGACAAAUUAAAACUUAUAAUGAAAAUAGGAAAAGUUAAUAUUUGGGAGCCGCUACAGAUCUAUAAAAAUAAAAGUUUUCUUUAGCCGUCAAAAUAAACGUCAAAACUAGACGUCAAUAUUCAAUAUCCUCCCUACAAAAUUUCUAUCUAAGUAUAAUUAAGUUAUAAUUGCCAUCUAUCGAUACAUUAUAUAUUUAUUUUUGGCAUUAUGUUUCUUUAUGAUAUAGAUUAUCAAAAAUGAUCUCUGCAUACCUUACUGCAAAGAUAGAGAAAUAUUAUAUUAUUUUGCUAAUAUAUAUCAUAAAGAAACAAUGACAAAAUAUAAGCGCAAACUGUAAAGAAAUUAAGUAGUUACAUAUACAAAAAAAAAUUGUAUAUGCAUUGUAGCCUUGUGUAUAAUUAGCACAAAAAUGAGUUUUAUACUUACCGGGUAUUUUGCCCUUAUCUCUUUAAGAAGUCCAUACCUGGAUAAACAAAAGUCACUUUGUCAUGAAAGAACUGACAUUCUGACCAAUGUGAUGGUAAAUAGCCUAUUAAAUACGUUUAUAACAGUAUAGGAAAGUCUUGAGACAAAUAGGUCGAGAUUAGCAUGAAUAAGAGCUACAGGCAAAAUUUUGGAAAAACAGAUAUUGACACGAAGAACAAUGAAAAAACGUAUAUAUAUCGAUAUAUUAAAGUGAAACCAUCAGGCUUCUAGUUUCUUUUUAAAAAAAUUAAUUCAGAUCUCUGAAAAACUUAUCCCUGAAAGCCUGAUGUUUUCACUUUAAUAAGAAAAAGCUCAACUAAAUGUGACUGGUAAGAGUGUGGCAAUCAUUUCCAAUAGAAUGGUUACGGGAAAUGAUAGUGGAGAAAUCAUUCUGAAAAUCAGACAACAGAAAAACUUGGUGAAAAUGUUCUACUAAUAUGCUUAGCUUAUAAAUGCAAGAUGCAAUAACGCGAGACAUUAAGAUAUCGCUUUGUGAUCAUCUCCUAUUUCGCAUGCAUUGGCUGCAGAAAUAAUUGUGAAAUGUAGUAAUGUAUCGUAUAUGUAAUGUUCCUCUCUUCGAUUAAAUAAAUAAAUAUGCUUUAUUAAAUUAAUAAACUAAUUUUUAUUAUAUAUAUUUUUAAUGUCAAACGUACACUUUUUAAAUAGAUUCAUAACUACAACAAUAAUUACAGUGCUGCCAAAUCCAAACAAUCAAAAAUAAAUUAAUUAAACAGAGUAUAUUAUAAUAUUAUUAUAAGGUAUAUUACAACUCCCCCGACUUCAAGCGACUUCAUCCCUCCUGGGAUGUCGAUGCAGAUAAGGUUGGAUAUUGGAGAUGUGAGCCGUUCUUGGAGUUUUAUCAUCAGACUCAUAUUCAACAUAUUUGGGGUGGCCAUCCAUUUUGGUUACCCUUGUCACUCGAUGCGGACCAGAUAGCUUCCAUUCCUUUCCAACCUUCUGAUGUCUUACCAAAAUAUAAUCGUCGAUAUUCAUCUCUGGUGGCAGGGCCUUCUUACGACUGUUAAAAUAAAACUUUGUUCUUUGUCGGUAGAGGUUUUGCUCAAUUUGACUUUUUUCUGUUUCAUAAAGAACACAGUGAAGAUUAAGCUCUUUAUCGGCAGGUAAAACAGGGGAAGUUUUUGUAAGUUUGAAUAAAGGGGAGCAACCCAGGUAGGAGUUGUAGGAUCUAUUAUGGUAGCGUACUGCCGCUUCUAAGGCAUUUUUCCAUCCACCCUUGAAGUGAGGAUAGCACGAGAGAAAGGUCUUUAUAUCUCGUAUAGCUCGUUCCGCUAAACCAUUUCCUGCAGGGUGAUAAGGAGAAGUAGUUAUUAAUCGGAUGUCUUUGGAGGUUGCCCACCUAGGGAAUUCUCCAUACACAAAUGAUCUCCCUUGAUCGGAGACUAUAGUUCUCACUGAUUUCAGAUCCUCAUGUUCGUUGAAAUAUUUUAUUAGAGCACGGCCAUGUUGUUUCAUUGCCUUUGCUUGAACUACCCUAGUAGCCUCGUCAAUAAUUAGUAAAAAUGUUGAAUUCUUAUCCUUGAUGUUAGAAGGAGCCUCGGCGAAAUCUACAUGUACAGUAUGGAAAGGUACCCUUGAUUGAUGGGGCAAACUCAUCUUUGAAGGACGGCUCUUAUACUUGAACUUGGCCCUUUGACAGAUAGGACAAGAAGAUACAUAUUUCCUUAUGUCAUUCUUCAUACCAGGCCAAACAAAGCGUUGCUUCAUUUUAUAAUAUGUCCUCCAAAACCCCGAAUGUCCUCCUGAUAAGGGAUCAUCAUGGUACAUAGAUAAAAUUGAAGUUCGAUGUUCGUGAGGGACAAAAUAUUUCCCGUGAUCUUCUAAUUUUAAAGGAAUACUCUGAUGUUUAACAAACAGUACGGUUUGAUCGCUGGAAUUUGGUGUUUCUACAGCCAAUCUAGACAGCGCGUCUGCAUCGCUGAGCUCCCUGCCAGAACGGUGGUUCACUCUCAUUUCGAAUGAGCUCAGAAACAGCUGCCACCUCGCAAGUCGAUCCCGGAGAUGGCCACAGGAAAGUAGCUGUGUCAAUGCGCGAUGAUCCGUGUGGACAGCAAAAGACUUGCCUUCCAAAUACCAUCUGAAGUGUUUGACAGCCUUCAACACAGCAAGGCAUUCUUUUUCGGUGAUGGAAUAAUUUUGUUCAGCCUUGGAAAAUGUAUAUGAAUAAUAACUAAUCACUCUGAGUUGAAGUGAUUUCCUUUUAUUCACGUCUCUCUGGUAUAGAAUAGCCCCUGUUCCAUAAUAUGAAGCAUCUGUUGACAUUUCAUAAGGCAAUGACUCAUCUGGGAUUGCCAGUAUUGGUUUUGACGUGAUGAUAUCAAUAAGUUUUAAAUAGGCCUCUUCACAUUUAUCAGACCACAUAAAACUAGAAUCUUUUUUCUUCAGGUUGUCCAACGGUCGAACUAUCGUGGCAUAGUUUGGUAUAUAGGCCCGAAAAUGACCUGUAAAUCCAGUAAAACAUUGUAGUGACUUAAGAUUAUAUGGGCGUUUCAUGAGUUUAGCCUUUUCGAUUACUUCCUCCUUCAUUUGCUUCGAGUUACCGUUGAUAAUAUUACCUAAAAGUUCUACCUCAGAUACACAAAUUUGGCACUUGCCCAAGUUCACUGUCAUAUUAUAUUGAUUCAGUCU
RNAcentral lists this non-coding RNA (9019 nucleotides) under Cordylochernes scorpioides. The record is from RNAcentral. Lineage: Eukaryota; Metazoa; Arthropoda; Arachnida; Pseudoscorpiones; Chernetidae.